UUUUUCUCAAAACAUUAAAAACUCUCUGUCAGUUAAAAUAUAUAGGGAAAUGAAAUACUAAAAACUACUAAAACUAUUGUUUAUUUAGAACACAGUAAUUUGAAACACUAGAAAAAUAGUGUUUUGUUUCUUUGUAAAAAAUAAAACACGUAUGAAGAGUGCUUUGAACAGUUCUUGCCUUUUUAAAAUUGCCAUAUAAUUUACAAUAAUGAGCAAGCCUCUUUCCUAUAUACCUUGGUGAAUUAUUAUACUUCUAUUUAAAUUUGCAUCAACUUCCACCAUUUAAUGUUUGUACUUUCAACAUCAUGAAAUACUUCUGACUGUCUUUAAUGUGCAGUUAAUUUCUCUGUAAUUUCCUCUGGGGCAUCUUCAUCCUUUUUAGUGCAACUACUUUCUUCAUUUUUGUUGGUAAGUCCAUCUGAACACAGUCCUUCUGGCUACAAAUCUAGAGUCUCUUGAAGUAUGGUAGCACUUACAUUGCCACGGAUAAGUAUUUCUUCUAUAACUCCAUUUACAUUUGAUUUGCAUUUCACUUCCACCAUUAUUAUCAUUUUGGUUUUUUUUUUUUGCCACACUUUCAUCUUUAUGGGUCAAUUUCUUCUUUCAAUUAUCCAUUUUUGUGAAAUGUCAUAUGUAUUUGUCACUAAGAGACAAGGAGUCAACACAACUGCAUACUUUGCUGGGAAUAAGAGAUGUGCUAUGAUGAGUCACUGACAAGCUCUGAAAGAAGUCACAUGAUUGAUCAUUGAUUAUGAUGAGCAGCUAUUAUUUUUGUAGAGAUUUAUGAGCUGAAGAGCUAGUAUUACUCAGUUAAUAUAUUGUGGUAACUGAAAUUUGAACCAUGUUGUCGGUGAGCUGGCAUUGUUUAACUAAACUGUGGUAACUGAAAUUCAAGCCUAUCAACCACAAAGUGAGGAUUCCCUAUAUAAUGAAGACAGAGACAGAGACAAUAGGAUUUUUUGGAAGGUGGGAUAUGGAGUAUAGUAGCAUGUCACAGAUGCAGUUUUACAUUUGCUGGUGAUAUUGAUUAUCUAAUACUGACUGUCCCUCCUGAUAGCAAGCUCCGUGAAGGCAAGGACCACACUUCUCUUUGUUCACCAUUACACAGUUGAUGUUGCACUUUCCCAAAUAGCAUGUCUUUAAGUUUUGCAACAACCCCAAGCAGCAGGCAUCAUCUCGUUUUGCAGAUGAAGAAACUGAAGCUCAGAGAAGUUAAGUAACUUAGAACCAUUUUACACAACUAGUGAGUGACAGAUUGGAACUCAAAUUAUAUUUUCUGAAGUCCAAUCCUCUUUCCUUUGAACCACCUACUCCUCCCUAAUAAAAAUAUAGUCCUAUAAAGUUUUGCUCUGGAAACCAUAGCACCAUGUUUCCUAUGCCAUAAUCAACUAUCAUAUGAAAGCUGUAGAAUAUAAAUGACAGCAGAAAUAAGACAAACACAGUGUAUUUGAGUCUCCUGUCUGUUUAAAUAUCCUACAAGUUUCCAUUUAAAUUCUGUUCUUAACCUCAUGACAAGGAUUUAUAAAAAGACAAAAUCUGGCAACUACAUUGACUGAAGGCAAAAGAGCACAUCCUACUCUUCAAGGGAUUUCCAAUCUCUCUGCAAACAAUAAGGAUGAGUUAAGAAGUACAUUCCUGACUUCCUCAGACUUUAAUCUGUGAAUCAGAACAUUAAGAACAGGUACCUGAAAGGUAGAAAAGGUUUUGACUUACAUCACCUAGCACACCCAACCCAAAGGUGUCUGGGUGCAUUUACCAGAAAUCCACCUCUAUUCUCCAAAGCAAUUAUUUUCUAAUCAGUCAACAUCUUUCUCUUCCUUCACCACUUCCAAGGCUUUUCUUUUUCCAUUUGCAUCCAGAUACCAUUCCUCUCAAGAUUCAACAGUAACACUAAUCAAAUGCACAGUGCAAUUUAAGACAAACUUGUCGAUCCCCGCAUAAUGACUAAAGAGACUAUUGUCUUGGCUAUUUUAACAUCCAAGUUAGUCUGUCAGAAUGUAAAAUCACUGCUUUGUUACUAGCAUAUUAUUAUUUUAGCAAGGAAGAUGCUUAGCAGACAUAACCACUCCAAUUAAGGGACACUUUCACUCCUUACUUUUUCAUUCUGAUAUCACAUAAAUUUUUUACAAGUAUAUAUUACUUUUAGAACUAACAAUAAUUUUUAAGUGUCAUAACUGAUUUAACUUUUAAAGACAUGAAAAUAGCUCUUAAAUGAUUAUUAUACAAUAGCCUAAAUAAUUCAAUUAAAUAUAUGUAUAAUAUUGAAUACUAAAAGAUCUGAUAGGAAAAGAGAUGUGACAAUAUCCUGGACAACCGGGAACUGAGAAUAAGAUUAUAAUGUAACACAAAUAUCUCUUCCCUUACAGUCAUUUUAUAAUAAAUACUCAAUCAAAAUUAGAACUUUAUGUAAAAUGAAACAAAUUGAUAACACCUCUGGUUGAAGAAAAAAUAAGAUACUUUUGACUUGGGGAAAAUUUCCCCUAUUCAUAUGAUCAAUAGGAGUUAAGAAAUGCAUUUCUGAAUUAUUCACACUCUGCUUCGGGAAUUGUAAUCAACAACACUACCAAAAGCAGAAGAUUCCUUUAAAUUUUCCAACGGAAAAAUACGUGCCAUCAUUAAGCUGAUAAAUGCACGUAUUAUUUAAAAUUAAAUGAGCAUGAUUACUGCUACUUUAACAAAGAAAUGAGAGGAUUUGAUAUGCAUAUUAUGUAAGACACUAGAAAAUAAGCAAAUAUUUUGCUUAGACUGGUUCUGAAAAAAAAAAGUUGUUAUUGAGUAGACAUAUGAGUCUGGGUUUGGUACGAUUUUUUUCUGCACGUUGUCUGACACCCACCUCAUCGCCUACUAUAUGUGCCAACCCUAGCCCGUCCCAACCUCCCUUAUCCUCAGACUUAAUUUUUAUCAAUCUCAUGUCUUUCCCAGAAGUUGACAUGCUCUGGUCCAAGGUACGGAUGUCCAUUUCAAAUAUCACUUACCAAUUUUCCUUGGAAAUCAAGAUUUUAAUUGUUUCUUUGUUUAUGCAACAUCAAAAAUGAUCCUGCAGUCAAAAUAUCUAUGUCAGUUAUGCAGAUAAAAUGGAAGAUUGAACAUAUGCCUAUAAUUUUUCUCCUUUCCACUAAAAAUGGCAAUAAAGGGAUUUUUGCUUUUAAAGACCUAAAUCUCAAAGUAUUAGUAGAGCAGAAGAGGAUACAACUUCAACUACAUUUGUGGAAAGGGGAAGCAGAUGAACCAGUGGUAACUAACAGGAAACUGGAAGAAGAUGAAUCCUAAUCCAGUAAUGUGGGAAGCCUGAAUGUGUUCACAGACUCCUCCAAAGGCUCAGAUAUCAGGACUAAGUGCUCCCAGAAAUGGGGUACUAACAUAAGGAAAAUUGGUUAAGAGCAGUUUAAGGAACAAACACCAAAUCCCCUCUUCUACUCUGUGAAGUUGGGCAAAUUCUCCCCCAUCACCAGGCAGAACACCAGGAGUUUAUUCUGCGGAUAUUAAUCUUAGGUUGAUACUCUUAAACAUAAGUGAGCUACCAAGAUCCACAGACAGCAGAGAAAACCUUAUAAUGUGAAUAAUUGAAACCAAAAAGAGAAAGAAAAAAAAAAAAAAAACAUGCAAAGGAAACAAAGACUGCAGGGGGGAAAAAAAACUUGAGAAAAACACAAUAAUCCUAGAGAAAGAAGAGCAUUGAUAAGAUGCUAUAAAAAGGAGCAUUCAAAGAACAAAAGAAAGAGUAUGGAAUUGAAAACAUGAGAGCAUUAAUUUUUUUAACUUAAUAGAUUUACUAGGAAAUAAAAUUUAGAAAAAAGUUAGAAAAAUCUCCCAGAAAGCAGAGGAAAGAAAAACAGAGAAGAGAGAAAAAAAAUAAGGAAGCUUGCAUGUUUAAAGUCGUAAUUAAAUUCAUAUGCUUUAAAAUUUCAAAUUGUGCUAAAAGGUUUAUAACAUAAAAUAAUCUAUUUCCCACCCACUUUUUUCUACUCCCAGGUUGGUAAUUUCAGAAGCAGUCACUUUGAUUCUUUCGGCUGUUUCUUUUGACAUUUAUCUAACUUUAUAUGUUUAAAUAGUAUGUGUAUUUGCUAUUCUUAGAUACAUGAAUGUUGAGCAUUAUCUAAUUACUUCCUAUUAUGGUAGUUUAGCAUUUUACUCUCUUAGGCUCCCAUUGCCUCUACUUUCCCUCCUCUAUGAUUCCAAUUCAGUUGUAGUCAUUUUUUGAUUAAAUCAAUAUUCAGUUAAGUCUGUGUAAAUAUUACUCACAGCUGAGCACUGUACUAUGAUUACACUUCCUUUCUUAUAUUUUCACCAAAGUUAAUUAUUACCAUCUUUUUUUGAUUGAGGUACAAGUUAUACACCAUAAAAUGCGCCCAUCAUAAGUAUACAAUUCAGUGAACUUUGGUAAAUGUACAGAGUAAUGCAACUACCAUCACAAACCAGCUUUGAAACAUUUCCAUCACCCCAAAAAAGCUCCCUUGUGCCUGUUUGCAGUCAAUCUUCACUUCCACUCCCAGCCCCAGGCAACCACUCAUCUGUUUUCUGUCUCUAUAAAUUUGCCUUUUCUGGAAACUUCAUAUAAAUGGAAUCAUGCAAUACAUAGUCUCUUGCAUCUGGCUUCUUUCACUUAGCAUAAUAUUUUGAGAUUCAUUAUGUCAUAGCAUGUAUCUGUAGUCUGUAUCUUUUUAUUGAUGAAUUGUAUUCUACUUUAUAGAUAUACAACACUUUGUUAAUCCUUUCAC
Molecule: long non-coding RNA, 4718 nt
Filed under: Macaca fascicularis (crab-eating macaque)
Lineage: Eukaryota; Metazoa; Chordata; Mammalia; Primates; Cercopithecidae
Description: lncRNA (ENSMFAG00000053788.1)
Source: RNAcentral